RNAcentral lists this transfer RNA (82 nucleotides) under Lachancea thermotolerans. RNAcentral's name for it is "tRNA-Ser". It matches the Rfam family "tRNA". From Rfam's summary of the family: Transfer RNA (tRNA) molecules are approximately 80 nucleotides in length. Their secondary structure includes four short double-helical elements and three loops (D, anti-codon, and T loops). Lineage: Eukaryota; Fungi; Ascomycota; Saccharomycetes; Saccharomycetales; Saccharomycetaceae. The record is from RNAcentral. RNAcentral also lists the same sequence under 1 other name.
GGCACUAUGGCCGAGUGGUUAAGGCGAGAGACUCGAAAUCUCUUGGGCUAUGCCCGCGUCGGUUCAAAUCCGGCUGGUGUCG